This 69-nucleotide transfer RNA is filed under the name Trioceros feae. Its description in RNAcentral is "tRNA-Trp". The record is from RNAcentral. Lineage: Eukaryota; Metazoa; Chordata; Lepidosauria; Squamata; Chamaeleonidae.
AGGAACUUAGGAUAAUACAAACCCGGGGCCUUCAAAGCCCCCAAUAAGAGUCCAACCUCUUAGCUCCUG